ACGCUUCUUUCCUCCCGAGUGCUUGCACUCAAUUGGAAAGAGGAGUGGCGGACGGGUGAGUAACACGUGGGUAACCUACCCAUCAGAGGGGGAUAACACUUGGAAACAGGUGCUAAUACCGCAUAACAGUUUAUGCCGCAUGGCAUAAGAGUGAAAGGCGCUUUCGGGUGUCGCUGAUGGAUGGACCCGCGGUGCAUUAGCUAGUUGGUGAGGUAACGGCUCACCAAGGCCACGAUGCAUAGCCGACCUGAGAGGG
RNAcentral lists this ribosomal RNA (256 nucleotides) under Enterococcus faecalis. RNAcentral describes it as "partial 16S rRNA". It matches the Rfam family "Bacterial small subunit ribosomal RNA", at positions 66 to 300 of the family's 1533-position model. Lineage: Bacteria; Bacillati; Bacillota; Bacilli; Lactobacillales; Enterococcaceae. The record is from RNAcentral.